RNAcentral lists this ribosomal RNA (1503 nucleotides) under uncultured bacterium. RNAcentral's name for it is "bacterial SSU rRNA". It matches the Rfam family "Bacterial small subunit ribosomal RNA". The record is from RNAcentral.
AGAGUUUGAUCAUGGCUCAGAUUGAACGCUGGCGGCAUGCCUUACACAUGCAAGUCGAACGGUAACGCGGGGCAACCUGGCGACGAGUGGCGAACGGGUGAGUAAAGCAUCGGAACGUGCCCAGUAGUGGGGGAUAGCCCGGCGAAAGCCGGAUUAAUACCGCAUACGACCUACGGGUGAAAGCGGGGGAUCGCAAGACCUCGCGCUAUUGGAGCGGCCGAUGUCAGAUUAGGUAGUUGGUGAGGUAACGGCUCACCAAGGCUAUGACGGGUAGCUGGUCUGAGAGGACGACCAGCCACACUGGAACUGAGACACGGUCCAGACACCUACGGGUGGCAGCAGUCGAGAAUUCUUCUCAAUGGGGGAAACCCUGAAGGAGCGACGCCGCGUGGAGGAUGACGGUCUUCGGAUUGUAAACUCCUGUCAUUAGGGAACAAUUGUCGCCGAUUAACUACCGGCGGCUUGAUAGUACCUGAAGAGGAAGAGACGGCUAACUCUGUGCCAGCAGCCGCGGUAAUACAGAGGUCUCAAGCGUUGUUCGGAUUCAUUGGGCGUAAAGGGUGCGUAGGUGGCGCCGUAAGUCAGGUGUGAAAUCUCGGGGCUCAACCCCGAAACUGCACUUGAUACUGCGGUGCUCGAGUACUGGAGAGGAGAUUGGAAUUUACGGUGUAGCAGUGAAAUGCGUAGAUAUCGUAAGGAAGACCAGUGGCGAAGGCGAAUCUCUGGACAGUUACUGACACUGAGGCACGAAGGCCAGGGGAGCAAACGGGAUUAGAUACCCCGGUAGUCCUGGCAGUAAACGGUGCGCGUUUGGUGUGGGAGGAUUCGACCCCUUCUGUGCCGGAGCUAACGCGUUAAACGCGCCGCCUGGGGAGUACGGUCGCAAGAUUAAAACUCAAAGAAAUUGACGGGGGCCCGCACAAGCGGUGGAGUAUGUGGCUUAAUUCGAUGCAACGCGAAGAACCUUACCUGGCCUUGACAUGCAUCUCUAAGUCGGUGAAAGCCGGCGAGUGUAGCAAUACACAAUUUGCACAGGUGCUGCAUGGCUGUCGUCAGCUCGUGUCGUGAGAUGUUGGGUUAAGUCCCGCAACGAGCGCAACCCCUGUGAACUGUUGCCACCGGCCUUCGGGCCGAGCACUCUGUUCAGACUGCCCUGUGAAACGGGGAGGAAGGUGGGGAUGACGUCAAGUCAGCAUGGCCCUUACGGCCAGGGCUGCACACGUACUACAAUGCUCAGUACAGAAUGAACCGAAACCGCGAGGUGGAGGAAAUCCCUAAAACUGAGCCCAAUUCGGAUUGGAGGCUGCAACUCGCCUCCAUGAAGCCGGAAUCGCUAGUAAUGGCGUAUCAGCUACGACGCCGUGAAUACGUUCCCGGGCCUUGUACACACCGCCCGUCACAUCAUGGAAGUCACUUGUACCCGAAGUGCAUGCGCCAACCGCAAGGAGGCAGUGCCCUAAGGUAUGGGUGGUAACUGGGAUGAAGUCGUAACAAGGUAACCGU